Molecule: ribosomal RNA, 482 nt
Filed under: uncultured bacterium
Lineage: Bacteria
Description: partial 16S ribosomal RNA
Rfam family: Bacterial small subunit ribosomal RNA
Source: RNAcentral
AUUGAACGCUGGCGGCAUGCUUUACACAUGCAAGUCGAACGGUAACAGGCCGCUAGGUGCUGACGAGUGGCGCACGGGUGAGUAAUGCAUCGGAACGUGCCCAGUCGUGGGGGAUAACUACUCGAAAGAGUGGCUAAUACCGCAUACGAUCUAUGGAUGAAAGCGGGGGACCGUAAGGCCUCGCGCGAUUGGAGCGGCCGAUGUCAGAUUAGGUAGUUGGUGGGGUAAAGGCUCACCAAGCCAACGAUCUGUAGCUGGUCUGAGAGGACAACCAGCCACACUGGGACUGAGACACGGCCCAGACUCCUACGGGAGGCAGCAGUGGGGAAUUUUGGACAAUGGGCGCAAGCCUGAUCCAGCAAUGCCGCGUGCAGGAAGAAGGCCUUCGGGUUGUAAACUGCUUUUGUACGGAACGAAACGGCUCUGGUUAAUACCCGGGGCUAAUGACGGUACCGUAAGAAUAAGCACCGGCUAACUACGUG